CCUACGGGAGGCAGCAGUAGGGAAUCUUCCACAAUGGACGAAAGUCUGAUGGAGCAACGCCGCGUGAGCGAUGAAGGCCUUCGGGUCGUAAAGCUCUGUUGUUAGGGAAGAACAAGUACCGGAGUAACUGCCGGUACCUUGACGGUACCUAACCAGAAAGCCACGGCUAACUACGUGCCAGCAGCCGCGGUAAUACGUAGGUGGCAAGCGUUGUCCGGAAUUAUUGGGCGUAAAGCGCGCGCAGGCGGUCCUUUAAGUCUGAUGUGAAAGCCCACGGCUCAACCGUGGAGGGUCAUUGGAAACUGGGGGACUUGAGUACAGAAGAGGAAAGCGGAAUUCCACGUGCAGCGGUGAAAUGCGUAGAGAUGUGGAGGAACACCAGUGGCGAAGGCGGCUUUCUGGUCUGUAACUGACGCUGAGGCGCGAAAGCGUGGGGAGCAAACAGGAUUAGAUACCCUGGUAGUCCACGCCGUAAACGAUGAGUGCUAAGUGUUAGGGGGUUUCCGCCCCUUAGUGCUGCAGCUAACGCAUUAAGCACUCCGCCUGGGGAGUACGGCCGCAAGGCUGAAACUCAAAGGAAUUGACGG
Molecule: ribosomal RNA, 587 nt
Filed under: uncultured bacterium
Lineage: Bacteria
Description: bacterial SSU rRNA
Rfam family: Bacterial small subunit ribosomal RNA
Source: RNAcentral